Small nuclear RNA from Pongo abelii (Sumatran orangutan), 126 nucleotides. The record is from Ensembl. Lineage: Eukaryota; Metazoa; Chordata; Mammalia; Primates; Hominidae.
AGAAAGAAAGAAAGGAAAAAAGGUUAACACUCCCCUUGACAGGAUGAAAGAGGCCCUCGGCCUGACAAUACACACAUACAGUUAAGGCACAGCCACCUACUUUGAGACAUUGAACCAUAGCUUUUA